Molecule: ribosomal RNA, 468 nt
Filed under: uncultured bacterium
Lineage: Bacteria
Description: partial 16S ribosomal RNA
Rfam family: Bacterial small subunit ribosomal RNA
Source: RNAcentral
GACGAACGCUGGCGGCGUGCUUAACACAUGCAAGUCGAACGGAAAGGCCCUGCUUUCGUGGGGUGCUCGAGUGGCGAACGGGUGAGUAACACGUGAGUAUCCUGCCCUUGACUUUGGGAUAACUUCAGGAAACUGGUGCUAAUACCGGAUAGGAGCUCCUGCUGCAUGGUGGGGGUUGGAAAGUUUCGGCGGAUGGGGAUGGACUCGGGGCUUAUCAGCUUGUUGGUGGGGUAGUGGCUUACCAAGGCUUUGACGGGUAGCCGGCCUGAGAGGGUGACCGGCCACAUUGGGACUGAGAGACGGCCCAGACUCCUACGGGAGGCAGCAGGGGGGAAUAUUGCACAGUGGGCGGAAGCCUGAUGCAGCAGCGCCGCGUGCGGGAUGACGGCCUUCGGGUUAUAAACCGCUUUCGCCUGUGACGAAGCGUGAGUGACGGUAAUGGGUAAAGAAGCACCGGCUAACUACGUG